GCGGAGGAAAAGAAAAUAACAAUGAUUUCCUUAGUAACGGCGAGUGAACAGGAAAAAGCUCAAAGUUGGAACCUGUUUGGCCUAGCUAAACCGGAUUGUAAACUGUAGAAGUGUUUUCCAGGCAAGCCGGACCGAUAAGUCCUUUGGAACAGGGCAUCAUAGAGGGUGAGAAUCCCGUCUUCGGUCUGAGCAUUUGCCUUUUGCGAUACACUUUCAAAGAGUCAGGUUGUUUGGGAAUGCAGCCUAAAUUGGGUGGUAAAUCUCACCUAAAGCUAAAUAUUGGCGAGAAACCGAUAGCGAACAAGUACCGUGAGGGAAAGAUGAAAAGAACUUUGAAAAGAGAGUUAAACAGUAUGUGAAAUUGUUAAAAGGGAACCGUUUGGAGCCAGACUGGCUUGUCUGUAAUCAGUCUAAGCUUCGGCUUGGAUGCACUUGCAGGCUAUGCCUGCCAACGACAAUUUGGCUUGAGGGAAAAAACUAAGGGAAAUGUGGCCCAUCCGUGGGUGUUAUAGUCCCUUAGAAAAUACCUUGGGCUGGAUUGAGGUACGCAGCGAAUGCUAUUUGGCGAGUUGGCUGGGAAUAUUUUCUGAGGUGCUUUGGUACUG
Molecule: ribosomal RNA, 605 nt
Filed under: Rhizopus microsporus var. microsporus
Lineage: Eukaryota; Fungi; Mucoromycota; Mucoromycetes; Mucorales; Rhizopodaceae
Description: eukaryotic LSU rRNA
Rfam family: Eukaryotic large subunit ribosomal RNA
Source: RNAcentral